GGUUAAGCGACUAAGCGUACACGGUGGAUGCCCUGGCAGUCAGAGGCGAUGAAGGACGUGCUAAUCUGCGAAAAGCGACGGCGAGGUGAUAUGAACCCCUGACCCGUCGAUGUCCGAAUGGGGAAACCCAGUGCAAUCCGUUGCACUAUCGUUAACUGAAUACAUAGGUUAACGAGGCGAACCGGGGGAACUGAAACAUCUAAGUACCCCGAGGAAAAGAAAUCAACCGAGAUUCCCCCAGUAGCGGCGAGCGAACGGGGAGCAGCCCGGAGUCUGAAUCAGCUUGUGUGUUAGUGGAACGGUCUGGAAAGUCCGACGGUACAGGGUGAUAGUCCCGUACACGAAAGCACACAUGCUGUGAACUCGAAGAGUAGGGCGGGACACGUGGUAUCCUGUCUGAAUAUGGGGGGACCAUCCUCCAAGGCUAAAUACUCCUGACUGACCGAUAGUGAACCAGUACCGUGAGGGAAAGGCGAAAAGAACCCCGGCGAGGGGAGUGAAAAAGAACCUGAAACCGUGUACGUACAAGCAGUGGGAGCCUCUUUUAUGGGGUGACUGCGUACCUUUUGUAUAAUGGGUCAGCGACUUAUAUUCUGUAGCAAGGUUAACCGUAUAGGGGAGCCGAAGGGAAACCGAGUCUUAACUGGGCGUUAAGUUGCAGGGUAUAGACCCGAAACCCGGUGAUCUAGCCAUGGGCAGGUUGAAGGUUGGGUAACACUAACUGGAGGACCGAACCGACUAAUGUUGAAAAAUUAGCGGAUGACCUGUGGCUGGGGGUGAAAGGCCAAUCAAACCGGGAGAUAGCUGGUUCUCCCCGAAAGCUAUUUAGGUAGCGCCUCGUGAACUCAUCUUCGGGGGUAGAGCACUGUUUCGGCUAGGGGGCCAUCCCGGCUUACCAACCCGAUGCAAACUACGAAUACCGAAGAAUGUUAUCACGGGAGACACACGGCGGGUGCUAACGUCCGUCGUGAAGAGGGAAACAACCCAGACCGCCAGCUAAGGUCCCAAAGUCAUGGUUAAGUGGGAAACGAUGUGGGAAGGCACAGACAGCCAGGAUGUUGGCUUAGAAGCAGCCAUCAUUUAAAGAAAGCGUAAUAGCUCACUGGUCGAGUCGGCCUGCGCGGAAGAUGUAACGGGGCUAAACCAUGCACCGAAGCUGCGGCAGCGACACUAUGUGUUGUUGGGUAGGGGAGCGUUCUGUAAGCCGUCGAAGGUGUGCCGUGAGGCAUGCUGGAGGUAUCAGAAGUGCGAAUGCUGACAUAAGUAACGAUAAAGCGGGUGAAAAGCCCGCUCGCCGGAAGACCAAGGGUUCCUGUCCAACGUUAAUCGGGGCAGGGUGAGUCGACCCCUAAGGCGAGGCCGAAAGGCGUAGUCGAUGGGAAACAGGUUAAUAUUCCUGUACUUGGUGUUACUGCGAAGGGGGGACGGAGAAGGCUAUGUUAGCCGGGCGACGGUUGUCCCGGUUUAAGCAUGUAGGCGGAGGUUCCAGGUAAAUCCGGUACCUUUUUAACGCUGAGGUGUGAUGACGAGGCACUACGGUGCUGAAGUAACAAAUGCCCUGCUUCCAGGAAAAGCCUCUAAGCAUCAGGUAACACGAAAUCGUACCCCAAACCGACACAGGUGGUCAGGUAGAGAAUACCAAGGCGCUUGAGAGAACUCGGGUGAAGGAACUAGGCAAAAUGGUGCCGUAACUUCGGGAGAAGGCACGCUGAUAUGUAGGUGAAGUCCCUGCGGAUGGAGCUGAAAUCAGUCGAAGAUACCAGCUGGCUGCAACUGUUUAUUAAAAACACAGCACUGUGCAAACACGAAAGUGGACGUAUACGGUGUGACGCCUGCCCGGUGCCGGAAGGUUAAUUGAUGGGGUUAGCGGCAACGCGAAGCUCUUGAUCGAAGCCCCGGUAAACGGCGGCCGUAACUAUAACGGUCCUAAGGUAGCGAAAUUCCUUGUCGGGUAAGUUCCGACCUGCACGAAUGGCGUAAUGAUGGCCAGGCUGUCUCCACCCGAGACUCAGUGAAAUUGAACUCGCUGUGAAGAUGCAGUGUACCCGCGGCAAGACGGAAAGACCCCGUGAACCUUUACUAUAGCUUGACACUGAACACUGGUCCUUGAUGUGUAGGAUAGGUGGGAGGCUUUGAAGCGUGGACGCCAGUCUGCGUGGAGCCGUCCUUGAAAUACCACCCUUUAAUGGCUGGUGUUCUAACGUUGACCCGUUACCCGGGUUGCGGACAGUGUCUGGUGGGUAGUUUGACUGGGGCGGUCUCCUCCCAAAGAGUAACGGAGGAGCACGAAGGUUAGCUAAUCCUGGUCGGACAUCAGGAGGUUAGUGCAAUGGCAUAAGCUAGCUUGACUGCGAGAGUGACGGCUCGAGCAGGUGCGAAAGCAGGUCAUAGUGAUCCGGUGGUUCUGAAUGGAAGGGCCAUCGCUCAACGGAUAAAAGGUACUCCGGGGAUAACAGGCUGAUACCGCCCAAGAGUUCAUAUCGACGGCGGUGUUUGGCACCUCGAUGUCGGCUCAUCACAUCCUGGGGCUGAAGUAGGUCCCAAGGGUAUGGCUGUUCGCCAUUUAAAGUGGUACGCGAGCUGGGUUUAGAACGUCGUGAGACAGUUCGGUCCCUAUCUGCCGUGGGCGCUGGAGAAUUGAGGGGGGCUGCUCCUAGUACGAGAGGACCGGAGUGGACGCAUCACUGGUGUUCGGGUUGUCAUGCCAAUGGCACUGCCCGGUAGCUAAAUGCGGAAGAGAUAAGUGCUGAAAGCAUCUAAGCACGAAACUUGCCCCGAGAUGAGUUCUCCCUGAGACUUUAAGUCUCCUGAAGGAACGUUGAAGACGACGACGUUGAUAGGUCGGGUGUGUAAGCGCAGCGAUGCGUUGAGCUAACCGAUACUAAUGAACCGUGAGGCUUAACCUU
Molecule: ribosomal RNA, 2906 nt
Filed under: Enterobacter cancerogenus
Lineage: Bacteria; Pseudomonadati; Pseudomonadota; Gammaproteobacteria; Enterobacterales; Enterobacteriaceae
Description: 23S ribosomal RNA
Rfam family: Bacterial large subunit ribosomal RNA
Source: RNAcentral